RNAcentral lists this transfer RNA (72 nucleotides) under Camelus bactrianus (Bactrian camel). It matches the Rfam family "tRNA". Rfam says of the family: Transfer RNA (tRNA) molecules are approximately 80 nucleotides in length. Their secondary structure includes four short double-helical elements and three loops (D, anti-codon, and T loops). RNAcentral also lists the same sequence under 3 other names. Lineage: Eukaryota; Metazoa; Chordata; Mammalia; Artiodactyla; Camelidae. The record is from Rfam by way of RNAcentral.
GGGGUGUAGCUCCGUGGCAGAGCGCAUGCUUAGCAUGCAUGAGGUCCUGGGUUCAAUUCCCUAGUGGCUCCA